This 281-nucleotide ribosomal RNA is filed under the name uncultured bacterium. RNAcentral's name for it is "partial 16S ribosomal RNA". It matches the Rfam family "Bacterial small subunit ribosomal RNA", at positions 74 to 353 of the family's 1533-position model. The record is from RNAcentral.
ACUUGCUUUCUUUGCCGGCGACCGGCGCACGGGUGAGUAACACGUAUCCAACCUGCCCUUUACUCGGGGAUAGCCUUUCGAAAGAAAGAUUAAUACCCGAUGGCAUAGUUCUUCCGCAUGGUAGAACUAUUAAAGAAUUUCGGUCAUCGAUGGGGAUGCGUUCCAUUAGGUUGUUGGCGGGGUAACGGCCCACCAAGCCUUCGAUGGAUAGGGGGUUCUGAGAGGAAGGUCCCCCACAUUGGAACUGAGACACGGUCCAAACUCCUACGGGAGGCAGCAUG